UACGUAGGGGGCGAGCGUUGUUCGGAUUUACUGGGCGUAAAGGGCGCGUAGGCGGUCAGCACAAGUCAGUUGUGAAAUCUCCGGGCUUAACUCGGAAAGGUCAACUGAUACUGUGCGACUAGAGUGCAGAAGGGGCAACUGGAAUUCUCGGUGUAGCGGUGAAAUGCGUAGAGAUCCGGAGGAAUACCAGUGGCGAAGGCGGCACGCUGGGCCAUAACUGACGCUAAGACUCGAAAGCAUGGGUAGCGAACGGG
Molecule: ribosomal RNA, 254 nt
Filed under: uncultured bacterium
Lineage: Bacteria
Description: partial 16S ribosomal RNA
Rfam family: Bacterial small subunit ribosomal RNA
Source: RNAcentral